GUGGGGAAUAUUGGACAAUGGGCGCAAGCCUGAUCCAGCCAUGCCGCGUGAGUGAUGAAGGCCUUAGGGUUGUAAAGCUCUUUUAGCAGGGACGAUAAUGACGGUACCUGCAGAAAAAGCCCCGGCCAACUUCGUGCCAGCAGCCGCGGUAAUACGAAGGGGGCUAACGUUGCUCGGAAUCACUGGGCGUAAAGCGCACGUAGGUGGGUCGUUAAGUCGGGGGUGAAAUCCCAGAGCUCAACUCUGGAACUGCCUUCGAUACUGGCGACCUUCGAGUUCGGGAGAGGUGAGUGGAACUGCGAGUGUAGAGGUGAAAUUCGUAGAUAUUCGCAAGAACACCAGUGGCGAAGGCGGCUCACUGGCCCGAUACUGACACUGAGGUGCGAAAGCGUGGGGAGCAAACAGGAUUAGAAACCCUUGUAGUCC
RNAcentral lists this ribosomal RNA (426 nucleotides) under uncultured bacterium. RNAcentral's name for it is "bacterial SSU rRNA". It matches the Rfam family "Bacterial small subunit ribosomal RNA", at positions 354 to 796 of the family's 1533-position model. The record is from RNAcentral.